This 1071-nucleotide ribosomal RNA is filed under the name Triticum aestivum (bread wheat). RNAcentral's name for it is "partial small subunit ribosomal RNA". Lineage: Eukaryota; Viridiplantae; Streptophyta; Magnoliopsida; Poales; Poaceae. The record is from RNAcentral.
AUCCUGCCCCUGGACCUGCUCUACGACCUCCUGCUCCGCCUCCCCGACAAGCCGCUCUGCCGCUUCCGUGCUGUCUGCAGGGCGUGGCAGUCCUUGCUCUGCCACCCGGACUUCAUCGCCGCUCACGACCACCGCCACCCUUGCCAGCGCCGAGCCGUCGGCGUGUACCGCUAUGGCCGGACAAGCCCCAGCAUCCUCGUCCUGGACAUGGACACCGGCCUCCUGAUCAAACGUCUAUGCCACGACGGCCCAACCCACAACCACGGCCCCCUGAGUCCUGACCGAGCGGUCUGCGUCCACAGCUUGGACAUGCGGCUGCGCCUCCUCGACCACGUCACCGGUGCCGUCUCCGUCUUACCCAGACCCGCGCCACCACGCAACUGUGUGGUCGUCUCGUACUCGCUCGGCCGGGUGGCCUCCACUAGCGAAUACAAGGUCCUGGCCAUGGUCACCCUGGUGCAACCUCGGGGGCAGGUCUGCAAGAUCCUAACCCUCACCGACGGCCAGCAGCACUGGAGGGCAACAGGCAAACCUCGUUUCGAGGUGGCAUCGCCGCUGACAAAGUCGUAUACCACCUGCCGGGAGACGACCGUAGUCGAGGGUGUCGCCUACUUCCUAGUUGUCGACGAACGGAUGGACAAGUACGCCGCCGCCGACUGGAUCAUGGGGUACCACCUGGACAGUGAGGCAUGGCGAUCGGCCGCCAUCAAAGGCCCGGCGGGCACACUCGAUGUUGGUCUUGCCGGGUUGGACGGCCGUCUCAUUGUGUGCCACGACGACCGCCGCACCCGCGUGCAGUUGUGGUCUCUCGUGGAACCCGAUCAGUCUAUCUGGUCCAUGCUGCAUAGGAUCGUCAUGCCUGGCCAUACGCUCGCCCGGACGCCACUAUCGUCACGCUUUCGCGAGUAUGUCGAGAAGCCACUGGCGAUGCUCGAAGAUGGGAAGUUGCAGUCCUCCUUCCCCAACACAGUCUUGCGUUUAUAUGACCCGAGAACCGGAACUUCGACCGACGCGGCGAGGAUGAUGGACUGCCACGACGUGAGCAUUUACACAUGUAGCAUGUUGCACUCA